This 2909-nucleotide ribosomal RNA is filed under the name Providencia sp. R33. RNAcentral describes it as "23S ribosomal RNA". It matches the Rfam family "Bacterial large subunit ribosomal RNA". Lineage: Bacteria; Pseudomonadati; Pseudomonadota; Gammaproteobacteria; Enterobacterales; Morganellaceae. The record is from RNAcentral.
GGUUAAGCGACUAAGCGUACACGGUGGAUGCCUAGGCAAUCAGAGGCGAUGAAGGACGUGCUAAUCUGCGAAAAGCGUCGGUAAGGUGAUAUGAACCGUUAUAACCGACGAUGUCCGAAUGGGGAAACCCAGUGCAAUUCGUUGCACUAUCGUUUGAUGAAUACAUAGUCAAACGAGGCGAACCGAGGGAACUGAAACAUCUCAGUACCUCGAGGAAAAGAAAUCAACCGAGAUUCCCCUAGUAGCGGCGAGCGAACGGGGAGCAGCCCAGAGUCUUAAUCAGCAUUAGCAUCAGGAGAACGGUCUGGAAAGGCCGGCAGUAAAGGGUGAUAGCCCCGUAUCCGAAGGUGUUAGUGUUGUGAACUCGACGAGUAGGGCGGGACACGUGUUAUCCUGUCUGAAUAUGGGGGGACCAUCCUCCAAGGCUAAAUACUCCUGAUUGACCGAUAGUGAACCAGUACCGUGAGGGAAAGGCGAAAAGAACCCCGGCGAGGGGAGUGAAAUAGAACCUGAAACCGUGUACGUACAAGCAGUGGGAGCCUUGAUUUAUCAGGGUGACUGCGUACCUUUUGUAUAAUGGGUCAGCGACUUAUAUUCUGUAGCAAGGUUAACCGUAUAGGGGAGCCGUAGGGAAACCGAGUCUUAACUGGGCGAAUGAGUUGCAGGGUAUAGACCCGAAACCCGGUGAUCUAGCCAUGGGCAGGUUGAAGGUUGGGUAACACUAACUGGAGGACCGAACCGACUAAUGUUGAAAAAUUAGCGGAUGACUUGUGGCUGGGGGUGAAAGGCCAAUCAAACCGGGAGAUAGCUGGUUCUCCCCGAAAGCUAUUUAGGUAGCGCCUCGUGAACUCAUCUUCGGGGGUAGAGCACUGUUUCGACUAGGGGGUCAUCCCGACUUACCAACUCGAUGCAAACUACGAAUACCGAAGAAUGUUAUCACGGGAGACACACGGCGGGUGCUAACGUUCGUCGUGAAGAGGGAAACAACCCAGACCGCCAGCUAAGGUCCCAAAGUCAUAGUUAAGUGGGAAACGAAGUGGGAAGGCUCAGACAGCCAGGAUGUUGGCUUAGAAGCAGCCAUCAUUUAAAGAAAGCGUAAUAGCUCACUGGUCGAGUCGGCCUGCGCGGAAGAUGUAACGGGGCUAAACUAUGCACCGAAGCUGCGGCAGCGAUAUUUAGAUAUUGUUGGGUAGGGGAGCGUUCUGUAAGCCUGUGAAGGUGUGCUGUGAGGCAUGCUGGAGGUAUCAGAAGUGCGAAUGCUGACAUAAGUAACGAUAAUGCGGGUGAAAAACCCGCACGCCGGAAGACCAAGGGUUCCUGUCCAACGUUAAUCGGGGCAGGGUGAGUCGACCCCUAAGGCGAGGCAGAAAUGCGUAGUCGAUGGGAAACGGGUUAAUAUUCCCGUACUGGUGAUAAUUGCGAUGGGGGGACGGAGAAGGUUAGGCUGGCCGGGCGACGGUUGUCCCGGUUUAAGGAUGUAGGCAGGUGAAUUAGGCAAAUCCGGUUCACUAUAUGCUGAGGUCUGAUGACGAGUCACUACGGUGGCGAAGUAGCUCAUACCCCGCUUCCAGGAAAAGCCUCUAAGCUCUAGAUUAUCAUUAAUCGUACCCCAAACCGACACAGGUGGUCAGGUAGAGAAUACUCAGGCGCUUGAGAGAACUCGGGUGAAGGAACUAGGCAAAAUGGUGCCGUAACUUCGGGAGAAGGCACGCUGGCGCUAGGUGAAGUGGUUUACCCAUGGAGCUGAAGCCAGUCGCAGAUACCAGCUGGCUGCAACUGUUUAUUAAAAACACAGCACUGUGCAAACACGAAAGUGGACGUAUACGGUGUGACGCCUGCCCGGUGCUGGAAGGUUAAUUGAUGGGGUUAUCCGUAAGGAGAAGCUCUUGAUCGAAGCCCCAGUAAACGGCGGCCGUAACUAUAACGGUCCUAAGGUAGCGAAAUUCCUUGUCGGGUAAGUUCCGACCUGCACGAAUGGCGUAAUGAUGGCCAGGCUGUCUCCACCCGAGACUCAGUGAAAUUGAACUCGCUGUGAAGAUGCAGUGUACCCGCGGCAAGACGGAAAGACCCCGUGAACCUUUACUAUAGCUUGACACUGAACAUUGAGCCUUGAUGUGUAGGAUAGGUGGGAGGCUUCGAAGCGUGGACGCCAGUCUGCGUGGAGCCAACCUUGAAAUACCACCCUUUAAUGUUUGAUGUUCUAACGUUGCCCCGUUAUCCGGGGUGCGGACAGUGUCUGGUGGGUAGUUUGACUGGGGCGGUCUCCUCCCAAAGAGUAACGGAGGAGCACGAAGGUUGGCUAAGCAUGGUCGGACAUCAUGCGGUUAGUGCAAAGGCAUAAGCCAGCUUGACUGCGAGAGUGACGGCUCGAGCAGGUACGAAAGUAGGUCUUAGUGAUCCGGUGGUUCUGAAUGGAAGGGCCAUCGCUCAACGGAUAAAAGGUACUCCGGGGAUAACAGGCUGAUACCGCCCAAGAGUUCAUAUCGACGGCGGUGUUUGGCACCUCGAUGUCGGCUCAUCACAUCCUGGGGCUGAAGUAGGUCCCAAGGGUACGGCUGUUCGCCGUUUAAAGUGGUACGCGAGCUGGGUUUAGAACGUCGUGAGACAGUUCGGUCCCUAUCUGCCGUGGGCGUUGGAAGAUUGAAAGGGGCUGCUCCUAGUACGAGAGGACCGGAGUGGACGCACCACUGGUGUUCGGGUUGUCAUGCCAAUGGCAUUGCCCGGUAGCUAAGUGCGGAAAAGAUAACCGCUGAAAGCAUCUAAGCGGGAAACUUGCCUUGAGAUGAGUCUUCCCUGACCCUUUAAGGGUCCUAAAGGAACGUUUAAGACUAAGACGUUGAUAGGUUGGGUGUGUAAGCGUAGCGAUACGUUGAGCUAACCAAUACUAAUGAACCGUGAGGCUUAACCUG